This 253-nucleotide ribosomal RNA is filed under the name uncultured bacterium. RNAcentral's name for it is "partial 16S ribosomal RNA". It matches the Rfam family "Bacterial small subunit ribosomal RNA", at positions 524 to 776 of the family's 1533-position model. The record is from RNAcentral.
UACAGGGGGGGCAAGCGUUAUUCGGAAUUAUUGGGCGUAAAGGGCGUGUAGGCGGCCUCGUAUGUCUUCUGUGAAAGCCCUCGGCUCAACCGGGGAACUGCAGGAGAAACGGCGAGGCUCGAGUCCGGGAGAGGAAAGCGGAAUUCCCAGUGUAGCGGUGAAAUGCGUAGAUAUUGGAAGGAACACCAGUGGCGAAGGCGACUAUCUGGAUAGAUACUGACACUGAGACACGAAAGCGUGGGGAGCAAACAGG